This 432-nucleotide ribosomal RNA is filed under the name Triticum aestivum (bread wheat). Its description in RNAcentral is "partial small subunit ribosomal RNA". Lineage: Eukaryota; Viridiplantae; Streptophyta; Magnoliopsida; Poales; Poaceae. The record is from RNAcentral.
AUGCCUCAGCCAUUAUUCUCUCUCUCUCUCAUCUUGAUCUUCUAUCUCCAGAUUGUCAGUCGGCAUUGUUGUAUACUUAGACGGGAAAGUUGUGAAAGUGCUAGAAUUGUACUCGGGUUUAAGCUUUCCCCAGCCCCUUUUCAUCAAUGGACUCCUGAUGUCUACGAAGGAGUGUGGUUCGUUCGAAAUUCCUACCUCUAUAUCUAUCUCUGAGGUGUUUGGGUUUUGCAAAACUCCAUAGACAUGCAGAAGAGAAAUGCUAUCAACACUACGACCAAGAUACAACUUUUAUCAAAAGUUUUUUGUGAUCUUUUUGUUCAAAUAACAAUUAAGGUGAAGCAGGGUCAGGAACAAUGAAUCUCUUUAUGUCAUAUACCAAUCGCAGCCAAGCCUAAUUUUCCAGUUUGGGGCAUUCAAAGGGCCUUAUGCUAA